CUAUGAUUAAGUUCAUGGCGAAAGGAG
RNAcentral lists this non-coding RNA (27 nucleotides) under unclassified sequences. The record is from RNAcentral.